GAGAUACCCUUUAUGGGGCAGGGCUUGCUUCAGUGGGGCUUUGGUGCUCACUGAGUCUUCCCCUUGAGUGUGUUUCU
Molecule: non-coding RNA, 77 nt
Organism: Myotis brandtii (Brandt's bat)
Lineage: Eukaryota; Metazoa; Chordata; Mammalia; Chiroptera; Vespertilionidae
Source: Rfam